GAUGAACGCUGGCGGCGUGCUUAACACAUGCAAGUCGAACGGAAAGGCUCCUGCUUGCAGGGGUACUCGAGUGGCGAACGGGUGAGUAACACGUGGGUGAUCUGCCCUGCACUUCGGGAUAAGCCUGGGAAACUGGGUCUAAUACCGGAUAGGACGAUGGUUUGGAUGCCAUUGUGGAAAGUUGUUUCGGUGUGGGAUGAGCUCGCGGCCUAUCAGCUUGUUGGUGGGGUAAUGGCCUACCAAGGCGUCGACGGGUAGCCGGCCUGAGAGGGUGUACGGCCACAUUGGGACUGAGAUGCGGGCCAGACUGCUACGGGCGGCAGCAGUGGGGAAUAUUGCAUAAUGGGCGCAAGCCUGAUGCAGCGACGCCGCGUGGGGGAUGACGGCCUUCGGGUUGUAAACUCCUUUCGCUAGGGACGAAGCGCAAGUGACGGUACCUGGAGAAGAAGCACCGGCUAACUACGUG
This 466-nucleotide ribosomal RNA is filed under the name uncultured bacterium. RNAcentral's name for it is "partial 16S ribosomal RNA". It matches the Rfam family "Bacterial small subunit ribosomal RNA", at positions 28 to 507 of the family's 1533-position model. The record is from RNAcentral.